GUGGGAACAUACCCUUUCCUGCGGAAUAGCUCCGGGAAACUGGAAUUAAUACCGCAUACGCCCUACGGGGGAAAGAUUUAUCGGGGAAGGAUUGNCCCGCGUUGGAUUAGCYAGUUGGUGGGGUAAAGGCCUACCAAGGNGACGAUCCAUAGCUGGUCUGAGAGGAUGAUCAGCCACAUUGGGACUGAGACACGGCCCAAACUCCUA
This 207-nucleotide ribosomal RNA is filed under the name Agrobacterium sp. Li2-3. Its description in RNAcentral is "partial 16S ribosomal RNA". It matches the Rfam family "Bacterial small subunit ribosomal RNA", at positions 117 to 341 of the family's 1533-position model. The record is from RNAcentral. Lineage: Bacteria; Pseudomonadati; Pseudomonadota; Alphaproteobacteria; Hyphomicrobiales; Rhizobiaceae.